CAGGGAGAGGCACCUUGAAUGGAAUGAGGCCGCCAGGCCAUGGGGCUCUAGACCCCAGGCCAUUAGCUUCGACCCUGCCCAGUCCCAGAGAGCCACCAUAAACCUUGUUCCACGCCCCAUCAGCUCCAACAGAUGCUGAGAGAAUUGGUUGGAUCUGAGAGUGUAGACCUACCACCCUCUGUCUCUUCACCGGCAAGUGAAGUGAAGUCACUGCUGUGUGCCACUUUUCCUUUAUCUUCUGAGACCAUUCUUGGAACGUCCAUUAGAAUAUGAUUGAUGUCAUUAAGAAGCCAAAUAUAAAAGACUAUGCCAAAAAAGAUCAGCAUCAGAACAAGGAGAAAUCACAUGAUAGGCUCCAUCUUCCCUCGUCGUCAUGUCUGCAGAUUUUCCAUUGUGUAAGGAAGCUAGCCUAGCCCCAGGAGCAGAGCCAGUGAGUGUCUGCAGGUUUUCCAUUGUGUAAGGAAGCUAGCCUAACCAGGGGAUGAAAGGGGUCAGUGUCCACAGGGUUUUCCCUGCUGUAACAACUGAGAGUUUUUCGUUCCUUUGAGCCCCACUUUGAAAACUCUCUGCCUCAUAACUGCAGGGUGCGGGGCCCAGGGCCGGUUCUGCAGAGGCUGCACUCUGGAGCAGUCAGUGAUGGAGCUCAGGCUGGCCCUAAACAAUGAGGACCAGGAUCCUUGGGAUGGCCCUACCUGUGGAAUAAAUGGAUACAAAACCCACUACUGGGAGCCAGGCCUCAUAUCAGGUGUUUGUCAGGUGCGUCUGUUUGAAGAGGAG
Molecule: long non-coding RNA, 777 nt
Filed under: Homo sapiens (human)
Lineage: Eukaryota; Metazoa; Chordata; Mammalia; Primates; Hominidae
Description: HSALNT0206971
Source: RNAcentral